AUGCAAGUCGAACGGUGACGACAGGGCUUGCCUUGUCUGAUCAGUGGCGAACGGGUGAGUAACACGUGAGUAACCUGCCCCUGACUCUGGGAUAACCCCGGGAAACCGGAGCUAAUACCGGAUAUGACACGUCCUCGCAUGGGGAGCGUGUGGAAAGUUUUUCGGUCUGGGAUGGACUCGCGGCCUAUCAGCUUGUUGGUGAGGUAAUGGCUCACCAAGGCGACGACGGGUAGCCGGCCUGAGAGGGCGACCGGCCACACUGGGACUGAGACACGGCCCAGACUCCUACGGGAGGCAGCAGUGGGGAAUAUUGCACAAUGGGCGAAAGCCUGAUGCAGCGACGCCGCGUGAGGGAUGACGGCCUUCGGGUUGUAAACCUCUUUCAGCAGGGAAGAAGCGCAAGUGACGGUACCUGCAGAAGAAGCACCGGCUAACUACGUGCCAGCAGCCGCGGUAAUACGUAGGGUGCGAGCGUUGUCCGGAAUUAUUGGGCGUAAAGAGCUUGUAGGUGGUUUGUCGCGUCUGCUGUGAAAAUCCGAGGCUCAACCUCGGACUUGCAGUGGGUACGGGCAGACUAGAGUGUGGUAGGGGAGACUGGAAUUCCUGGUGUAGCGGUGGAAUGCGCAGAUAUCAGGAGGAACACCGAUGGCGAAGGCAGGUCUCUGGGCCAUUACUGACACUGAGAAGCGAAAGCAUGGGGAGCGAACAGGAUUAGAUACCCUGGUAGUCCAUGCCGUAAACGUUGGGAACUAGGUGUGGGUCUCAUUCCACGAGAUCCGUGCCGCAGCUAACGCAUU
Molecule: ribosomal RNA, 797 nt
Filed under: Terrabacter sp.
Lineage: Bacteria; Bacillati; Actinomycetota; Actinomycetes; Micrococcales; Intrasporangiaceae
Description: bacterial SSU rRNA
Rfam family: Bacterial small subunit ribosomal RNA
Source: RNAcentral